RNAcentral lists this transfer RNA (76 nucleotides) under Alphaproteobacteria bacterium. RNAcentral describes it as "tRNA-Met". It matches the Rfam family "tRNA". Rfam says of the family: Transfer RNA (tRNA) molecules are approximately 80 nucleotides in length. Their secondary structure includes four short double-helical elements and three loops (D, anti-codon, and T loops). The record is from RNAcentral. RNAcentral also lists the same sequence under 1 other name. Lineage: Bacteria; Pseudomonadati; Pseudomonadota; Alphaproteobacteria.
GGCGGUGUAGCUCAGGGGUUAGAGCAGUGGAAUCAUAAUCCAUGUGUCGGGUGUUCAAAUCACCCCACCGCUACCA